Molecule: ribosomal RNA, 253 nt
Filed under: uncultured bacterium
Lineage: Bacteria
Description: partial 16S ribosomal RNA
Rfam family: Bacterial small subunit ribosomal RNA
Source: RNAcentral
UACGAGGGGGGCGAGCGUUGUUCGGAAUUAUUGGGCGGAAAGGGUGCGUAGGCGGUUUGGUAAGUCUGAUGUGAAAUCUAUGGGCUCAACUCAUAGUCUGCAUCGGAAACUGCCGGGCUUGAGUGUGGGAGAGGUGAGUGGAAUUCCUGGUGUAGCGGUGAAAUGCGUAGAUAUCAGGAGGAACACCUGUGGCGAAAGCGGCUCACUGGACCAUAACUGACGCUGAUGCACGAAAGCUAGGGGAGCAAACAGG